Molecule: non-coding RNA, 72 nt
Organism: Gasterosteus aculeatus (three-spined stickleback)
Lineage: Eukaryota; Metazoa; Chordata; Actinopteri; Perciformes; Gasterosteidae
Source: Rfam
GGUUCCAUGGUGUAAUGGUCAGCACUCUGGACUCUGGAUCCAGUAAUCCGAGUUCCAGUCUCGGUGGAACCU